This 253-nucleotide ribosomal RNA is filed under the name uncultured bacterium. RNAcentral describes it as "partial 16S ribosomal RNA". It matches the Rfam family "Bacterial small subunit ribosomal RNA", at positions 524 to 776 of the family's 1533-position model. The record is from RNAcentral.
UACGGAGGGUGCAAGCGUUAUCCGGAUUCACUGGGUUUAAAGGGUGCGUAGGUGGACAUUUAAGUCAGUGGUGAAAUCUUUGGGCUUAACCCGAAAACUGCCAUUGAUACUAUUUGUCUUGAAUUCUCUGGAGGUAAGCGGAAUAUGUCAUGUAGCGGUGAAAUGCUUAGAUAUGACAUAGAACACCCAUUGCGAAGGCAGCUUACUACGGAGUUAUUGACACUGAGGCACGAAAGCGUGGGUAGCAAACAGG